This 23-nucleotide non-coding RNA is filed under the name Arabidopsis thaliana (thale cress). Lineage: Eukaryota; Viridiplantae; Streptophyta; Magnoliopsida; Brassicales; Brassicaceae. The record is from RNAcentral.
CCGUUUCACAUGCGGAUUGUUGC